This 253-nucleotide ribosomal RNA is filed under the name uncultured bacterium. Its description in RNAcentral is "partial 16S ribosomal RNA". It matches the Rfam family "Bacterial small subunit ribosomal RNA", at positions 524 to 776 of the family's 1533-position model. The record is from RNAcentral.
AACGUAGGGGGCCAGCGUUGCUCGGAAUGACUGGGCGUAAAGGGUCCGUAGGCGGUGCGGUAAGUCGGAAGUGAAAUCCCGGGGCUCAACUCCGGGGCGGCUCCCGAAACUGCUGCGCUUGAGUGCGGGAGAGGGGAGUGGAAUUGCCGGUGUAGCGGUGAAAUGCGUAGAUAUCGGCAGGAACACCGGAGGCGAAGGCGGCUCUCUGGACCGCAACUGACGCUGAGGGACGAAAGCUGGGGGAGCAAACAGG